GUAUCUUCUAAGGGGGAAUAGCAGCCUGCAAGAACCACUUGUUUAAUAAUUCAGAAUCAACCUCUAAUAUAAUAUUAGUGUAACCAUGUUGUAUACACCAAUUUAAACCAAAACUGGCAGCCUGAACCUUUGCUUGGUUGUUUGUUCCUUCACCAAAAGGUACAACAAAAGCAUAUACUAUAUUCCCUUGAUAAUCUCUUAAAAUGCCCUCACCCUCCUAUUUUUCCGGGAUUAUGUAAAGCACUACCAUCUUUAUUUAAC
This 261-nucleotide long non-coding RNA is filed under the name Solanum tuberosum (potato). RNAcentral's name for it is "long non-coding RNA (STUB_LNC007325)". The record is from RNAcentral. Lineage: Eukaryota; Viridiplantae; Streptophyta; Magnoliopsida; Solanales; Solanaceae.